UAAGCGGAGGAAANGAAACUANCANAGGAUUCCCCUAGUAACUGCGAGUGAAGCGGGAAAAGCUCAAAUUUAAAAUCUGGCGGUCUCUGGCCGUCCGAGUUGUAAUUUAGAGAAGCGUCUCCCGCGCCGGACCGUGCACAAGUCUCCUGGAAUGGAGCGUCAUAGAGGGUGAGAAUCCCGUCUUUGGCACGGAUGCCUGUGCUUCUGCGAUGCGCUCUCGAAGAGUCGAGUUGUUUGGGAAUGCAGCUCAAAAUGGGUGGUGAACUCCAUCUAAAGCUAAAUAUUGGCGAGAGACCGAUAGCGAACAAGUACCGUGAGGGAAAGAUGAAAAGCACUUUGGAAAGAGAGUGAAACAGUACGUGAAAUUGUUGAAAGGGAAACGCUUGAAGUCAGUCGCGUCGACCGAGACUCAGCCUUGCCUUGGCUUGGUGUACUUCUCGGCCCGACGGGUCAGCAUCAAUUUUGCCCCUCGGAUAAUGGCAAGGGAAAGGUGGCACCUUUUCGGGUGUGUUAUAGUCUCCUGUCGCAUGCGAGGGGUGGGAUUGAGGAACUCAGCGCGCACCUUGGUGUCGGGGCUUCGGCCCACGUCACGCGCUUAGGAUGCUGGCGUAAUGGCUUUAAACGACC
Molecule: ribosomal RNA, 627 nt
Filed under: uncultured Russulaceae
Lineage: Eukaryota; Fungi; Basidiomycota; Agaricomycetes; Russulales; Russulaceae
Description: LSU rRNA
Rfam family: Eukaryotic large subunit ribosomal RNA
Source: RNAcentral